AUGUCCGGUGCGCCUCUGCCGCGCUACCCGUUGACUGUCGACGGUGUUCACUAUAUUGAUCCUGUCUCACACAUACAUCGUCGCUCGGUGCUUGGAGCUCGUCCAUCUAUGACGUUAUCUCCUACGACGUCUUCAGCAGAUUGUGCUGGUUGCUAUUCGACGACUCUUCACGUGGCUUCUGCCCGUGGCGGCGGUGUCCGCUCUACGUCGACUCCUCUCGCGGCCUUCGCACGCGGCGGUGCCGGCUCUACAUCGACUUCCUCAGUGGCUUCCACAUGCAGCCCUACGUCGACUCGCUACACUCAGUCAACUCUAUGCAUGGCUUCCACGGGUGGUGGUGACUGCUCAUCGUCGGCAGGUGUUUGUACCUCGACCUCUUCCGAUGUGUCCCUGUCUGCGCGUGAGAUUGCGCAGCUGCAAUGCCUGCUUGCUGCUUGGGAUUCUUCACCGACAGGUUCUGCAGUUUCUGUGACCGACUUUUCUGGCACUGAGAAACCACCUUCUACUCAUUCAGGUACAUCCCCAUGGAUUCUUGAUACUGGAGCGUCUUUUCAUAUGACUUAUGAUUCUUCCACUUUAACCUCCAUUCGACCUGUCGAGUCUCCUGCUCGUGUUCUUACGGCUGAUGGCACUCCCCUCCCUGUAGCUAGUCGAGGCACUCUUAGCACUUCCUCGUUUCACGUUUCCACUGUCGCUCAUGUCCCUCGACUUACCAUGCAGCUCAUAUCUGGUGGUCAGAUUGUUGACUCUAGUUGUAGGGUCAUUCUCGACUAUGAUUCGUGUUCUGUUCAGGAUCGUUGCACGGGCGCUCUACUUGGUGCUGGCCCUCGACGCCCUGAUGGUCUUUGGGAUCUUGACUGGCUUCGUCUUCCCUCCGCUGCCACCGCCGCCGCCAGUCUCACAACCCCUGUUGCAGCAUCUACCAGCUCUUUUCAGCAGUGGCAUCAUCGUCUUGGCCAUUUAUGUGGUUCUCGUCUCUCGUCUUUGGUUCAUCGCGGUGUUCUGGGGUCCGUCUCCGGUAAUGCUUCAUUGGAUUGUCUAGGUUGUAGGCUUGGCAAGCAGAUUCAGUUACCCUAUCCUCACAGUGAGUCAGUGUCCGAGCGCCCUUUUGAUCUCGUUCACGCUGAUGUUUGGAGUCCUGCUCCCUUCGCUUCGAAAGGGGGUCAUCGCUACUAUAUUAUCUUUAUAGAUGAUUUUUCUUGGUACACUUGGAUCUAUUUCAUGACUUCUCGUAGCGAGGUCUUAUCUAUAUACAAAAAAUUUGCUGCCAUGGUUCAUACCCAGUUUUCCACUCCUAUUCGUGUUUUCCGUGCAGAUUCAGCUAGUGAGUAUAUCUCCCAUGCGCUGCGAGGAUUCCUUGCUGAGCAGGGUACUCUUGCUCAGUUCUCUUGCCCUGGUGCUCAUGCUCAGAAUGGUAUGGCUGAGCGCAAGCAUCGUCACCUUCUUGAGACGACGCGUGCGAUGAUGAUCGCCGCCUCUCUUCCGCCUCACUUCUGGGCUGAGGCUGUUACCACUUCCACCUAUCUCAUCAAUAUUCAGCCAUCUGCUGCUCUACAGGGUGGUAUUCCUCUCGAGCGUCUUUCUGGUCGUUCUCUUGAUUAUUCGGUGCUUCGUUUGUUUGGUUGCGUCUGCUAUGUUUUGCUUGCCCCUCAUGAACACACCAAACUGACCGCUCAGUCUGUUGAGUGUGUCUUUCUCAGAUACAGUGAUGAGCAUAAGGGCUAUCGGUGUUGGGAUCCUGUCGGUUGUCGGAUGCGUAUUUCCCGGAAUGUGACAUUUGAUGAGUCUCGUCCCUUCUACCCACGUCCAUCCUCCUUAGCCUUUUCCACGGAGGACAUCUCUUUUCUCACGUUUUCGGAUACACCUCCCUCUAUGCCCAGUAUUCCUACUCCUCAUCCCAUUGUUGCAGAUCUGAUGCCGUCCUCUCCUAUGGAUUCUUCUCCUCCCUCAUCGCAUGACUCUCCACCAUCAUCGCCAAUACCUUCCCCUUCACCUUCAUCACCAAUACCUUCCCCUUCUCCACCUUCAUCAUUGAUACAUUCCCCGUCUCCGUCUCCAGUGAUUCCACCUCUUCCCUCCUUUCCUUUCCAUUAUACUCGUCGUCCACGUGUUGUGGAUGAGUCUACUGAUGUGCCCUCUACUUCUGGUGUGUCGUCUUCCUCCUCUCAACCGACUUAUCAUCUUCGUUCUCGGCCUUGUCCGCCUCUUGACCGAUAUUCUCCUUCUCGUUAUGGUCUUUCGACCAUUCUUGAGCCGACUUCUUAUCGAGAUGCUAUUGUUCAUCCUGAAUGGCAGCUUGCGAUGGCGGAGGAGCUUGCUGCUCUUGAGCGCACCGACACAUGGGAUCUUGUUUCUCUUCCUCCCGGUGUUCGUCCCAUCACUUGUAAGUGGGUCUACAAGGUUAAGACUCGUUCCGAUGGUUCUCUUGAGGGUUACAAAGCUCGUUUUGUGGCUCGUGGCUUUCAGCAGGAGCAUGGUCGCGAUUACGAUGAGACUUUUGCUCCUGUGGCCCAUAUGACCACUAUGUUGGGGAUCGUAGCAGAAUUUUAA
This 2550-nucleotide ribosomal RNA is filed under the name Triticum aestivum (bread wheat). RNAcentral describes it as "partial small subunit ribosomal RNA". The record is from RNAcentral. Lineage: Eukaryota; Viridiplantae; Streptophyta; Magnoliopsida; Poales; Poaceae.